AUUUCAUUUUUCUUUGACGGCAUUUCAUCUACUAUCUCUCACUCUUUUUCGGAGGCCAUUCUCUCUCUCGCGUCUUGCGAUGCCAAAGAACCAAGCAAGCUUCUUGUUCUCAAAGUUUUAACGGCGGUAUGUGGUUUCACGAUGAUGUUCCCCAUCACGCCAUUGUGUUUCGUGAAACCUAUGGAACCUCUCUUUCUCUCUCUGUAUGAAGCUUAUGGUGGUCUCCUCUCCGGUGAUGCACAGCGUGGUCUAUUCUUGGUGGUUCAGCUAGUGCGGUGAAGCAGUGUCGGCUGGGUCUCCUCCCUUCUUCCACUUUGCUUCAGAGACUAAUCGUCGGUACUUCUCAGCUCAAUCGUACUACACUAUUUGGUGUUGGAACAACGUCGCGUUCAAGUCGGCGAGAGAAGCUAUGAGGCAGCCAAAGGAUUGAGAAGCAGAUCUGAUGAAUUUCACAGAAUCGAAGACCCUUAUUUAUAGGUCUCGAUUCCUGACCCUUGAGGAAAUAAAGGAUGCAUUGAAUGAAACGAAGUGGGAGAAGUGGGUCGAUUGUGUUAAAGGCAACAUUGACUAAAUCCCUGCGUCUUCAGAGUGAGGAGAUAGAAGAACAUGGAUCGACACCAUGGCAAUGUCGGCAGAAAGAGAUGAAGUUGAUGUGAGUCGGUCUAUUCAUUUAACCAAUUGGGCUUUCGUUUGAUCUAAUCUAUAGCCCAAUUCUAAAUAGACUGUUAUUGGUUAUAUUGGCCCAACUCUAAAGAGACUAUCAUUGGUGUGUAAGGCCAACUGAAUAUCUCACUUACAAACAAUAUUUUGGUUUUUAAUUUCAUCGAACUAAAAAGCCCAUACAUUACGUAGCCCAGCACAAAUUAAUAGAAACGCAGUCUUUUGUAGAAAGGACACGUGUUGUGCUCAGAAUCAUUGACUUAAUGACGUGGAGGCAUAGGAGGGAGGCAAACAUUUUUUUAUAUAUAUAGAUUGAAUAAGACCUCUGAUAUUUCAGGACUGUCAUGGUACUAGCAGUUUAGAAAAUUUGUCGUAUGUAAGGAAAAUACUACGUCGUAGUCUCGUGUAUAUAUCUUUAUAUAUAAAGAAGGCUUUGCUUCCCUCCCAGCCUAUCCACGUCAGCGUCCAGCGCACAAAUUCGAUUCACGAGCGUCUGACACGUGUCACGCUUUAAUGAAACACAUACUUUGUAAUUCGUUUUUCUCCGGGCAUCCGUUUGGGCUUUGUAAUACGUUUUGAAUUUAAAACCCAUAGACCAACGAAUUUGGUAGGAACCCUAAUCCGGGUUGGAGCGCAUCUUUGUGUUCUUCGCUUCCGGGUUGAAAGGGACGAUUCAGAUUUCUGUAACGCUAUGUGUUGUGAUUUUCCGUCUUAAAUCCUCUUAAUUCGCAAGCCCACUACGAGACCUUUCGAUUGCGUUGUUCGUCGGCGAAAUCGUUGCUCAUCCGUUGUAGAGGCCAGACUGCUUCGAUUCUGGGAGGCUAGGAAUGUUAAGUGUGGUGGGGAGAUUAAGUGGAUGGAUUUGCUCAUGGUGGAUGUUAAGGUGAGUGAUUUUUCCUGUUCUCUUCUUUGUAUCAAUCGUUCUGGGUUAAUACUAACAGUGCCGUUAUUAUUCCUCUGUGAGCACUAGGCUGUCUAUGUGGUUGAUAUUGUUCGGUGAACCUGACCGUGUCCUACUUUUAAAAAUUUCCUUAGUUUUUUUUAUUUUGUUGCUAGAAAAAUAAAAUCUUGCUGGUCCCAUCUAUUACUCUGUGCGGACUGUAACGUGAUUGUUAAUAUAUAAAUAGAUUUCGGUUUAGUAUUGAUCCGGUUGUUUGGUAAAGAUUUUGGUUUCCUGUUAUGUAGAGUCGGUACUGAUAAUCUGUUAAAAUUUACACCGUUGAUUCACACUGAUAGAUUCCUAACUAUGUUUCAGGCAACCAUGAUGCAAGUGACGAUCAGUUCAAGCCGUCUCCCACAAUACCGGGAGAGACUCAUUGUCAGAACAAUGUUUUCCGUGUCCGGUUUUGAUGUCUCUAGAUGUGCACAGAGCUUCCGGCUCACGGAGUCUUCUCUGUUGAUCAGGUUCAACGAGAACACCACUUUUGAGGAGAUAACUGAUCAUGUAUCCCCCUUGCCCGAGGAAGCAUUUCGGUUUCGUAACCAGUCUGAGAUGAUUGGUUUAGCCAAAACAAACACUCAAUUUCCAGGUACAUUGCUCCCAGUUGACACGUACCUGUUAUAUUGUUGGACUUCUGUGUGUAAAGAGUAUGGUCUGUUUAUAUUUGUAAGAAAGUGAUAUAUAUCUCAUACUUUAUGUGGACGUCAUAGGUGAAAUACUUGGUGUGAAAAUAGACUCAAGACAUACAGCCAUUGAGUUAUUGACGUUUCUUACACUUACUGAAAACAUGGAUUACAAAUUUUACUCUGUUUAUAGACGCUUUCUUCUGUUUUGCAAUUUACAUUUAAAACAUGGUUUACAAAUUUUACUCUGUUUAUAGACGCUUUCCUCUGUUUUGCAAUUUACAUUUCGUAGACCAACGACUCUGUCGGCUAAUAAAGUAAACCAACUCCCGGUUUGAUGAAACCAUCAUAAAGACACAAACGCAAAGUCUACUAAACGUUUACAUACACAUAGCCCAAAUCACAUAUUCUAUGUGCUUCAAAUACUUUAAUAUAUCGGUGGAAUUAACCAUACUACCUUAUUGAUACAACAAUAAAAAUAUAUAUGUUUUAAAUGAAAUUUUAUUCAACAAUAAAAUAGUUUUAGUUAAAAUGAAUAAGUUGUUUUUUAAUAUCACAUAAAUUAUUAGUUUAAAAGAAAAUAUGGAAAACAACAUAAUACAUGAAAAAAAAAAAUUAACUAA
Brassica rapa (field mustard) is the source of this 2846-nucleotide long non-coding RNA. RefSeq lists it as uncharacterized. The record is from RefSeq and is a predicted model, not a curated record. Lineage: Eukaryota; Viridiplantae; Streptophyta; Magnoliopsida; Brassicales; Brassicaceae.